RNAcentral lists this transfer RNA (71 nucleotides) under Phelipanche aegyptiaca. RNAcentral's name for it is "tRNA-Phe". It matches the Rfam family "tRNA". From Rfam's summary of the family: Transfer RNA (tRNA) molecules are approximately 80 nucleotides in length. Their secondary structure includes four short double-helical elements and three loops (D, anti-codon, and T loops). RNAcentral also lists the same sequence under 1 other name. The record is from RNAcentral. Lineage: Eukaryota; Viridiplantae; Streptophyta; Magnoliopsida; Lamiales; Orobanchaceae.
GUCGGGAUAGCUGCAGAUAGAGCAGAGGACUGAAAAUCCUUGUGUCACCAGUUCUAAUCUGGUUCCGGGCA